RNAcentral lists this ribosomal RNA (169 nucleotides) under uncultured bacterium. Its description in RNAcentral is "partial 16S ribosomal RNA". It matches the Rfam family "Bacterial small subunit ribosomal RNA", at positions 338 to 524 of the family's 1533-position model. The record is from RNAcentral.
CCUACGGGAGGCAGCAGUGGGGAAUAUUGGGCAAUGGACGAAAGUCUGACCCAGCAACGCCGCGUGAAGGAAGAAGGUUUUCGGAUCGUAAACUUCUAUCCUUGGUGAAGAUAAUGACGGUAGCCAAGAAGGAAGCCCCGGCUAACUACGUGCCAGCAGCCGCGGUAAU